Molecule: ribosomal RNA, 253 nt
Filed under: uncultured bacterium
Lineage: Bacteria
Description: partial 16S ribosomal RNA
Rfam family: Bacterial small subunit ribosomal RNA
Source: RNAcentral
UACGGGGGGGGCAAGCGUUGUUCGGAAUUACUGGGCGUAAAGGGCUCGUAGGCGGCCAACUAAGUCAGACGUGAAAUCCCUCGGCUUAACCGGGGAACUGCAUCUGAUACUGGAUGGCUUGAGUUCGGGAGAGGGAUGCGGAAUUCCAGGUGUAGCGGUGAAAUGCGUAGAUAUCUGGAGGAACACCGGUGGCGAAGGCGGCAUCCUGGACCGACACUAACGCUGAGGAGCGAAAGCCAGGGGAGCAAACGGG